RNAcentral lists this ribosomal RNA (331 nucleotides) under uncultured bacterium. RNAcentral's name for it is "bacterial SSU rRNA". It matches the Rfam family "Bacterial small subunit ribosomal RNA", at positions 568 to 898 of the family's 1533-position model. The record is from RNAcentral.
CGCGUAGGUGGUAGUGAAAGUCUAUGGUGGAAUCUUAGGGCUUAAACCCUAAAACUGCCUUGGAAACUUCAUUACUUGAGUCAGUGAGGGGAGGGUAGAAUUCCUGGUGUAGCGGUGAAAUGCGUAGAUAUCAGGAGGAAGGCCGGUGGCGAAGGCGGCCCUCUGGCGCUGAACUGACGCUGAGGCGCGAAAGCGUGGGUAGCAAACAGGAUUAGAUACCCUGGUAGUCCACGCCCUAAACGGUGGGUACUAGGUGUAGGGCUCGUAAGGGUUCUGUGCCGAAGGGAAACCAUUAAGUACCCCGCCUGGGGAGUACGGCCGCAAGGUUGAA